This 355-nucleotide ribosomal RNA is filed under the name uncultured eukaryote. Its description in RNAcentral is "partial 18S ribosomal RNA". It matches the Rfam family "Eukaryotic small subunit ribosomal RNA", at positions 1470 to 1796 of the family's 1831-position model. The record is from RNAcentral.
CCCUUAGAUGUUCUGGGCCGCACGCGCGCUACACUGAUGAAUUCAACAAGUAUUAGACCUCAGUUAAUUCUGUUUGGUCGCUUCUUGGUUGAGAGGCCUGGAUAAUCUUUUAAACGUUCAUCGUGAUGGGGCUAGAUUAUUGCAAUUAUUAAUCUUCAACGAGGAAUUUCUAGUAAACGCAAGUCAUCAGCUUGCAUUGAUUACGUCCCUGCCCUUUGUACACACCGCCCGUCGCACCUACCGAUUGAAUGGUCCGGUGAAAACUUCGGAUUCUUCUAGACUGGUGUUAAUUCGCCUGGUCCCGAGGGAAAAUUUGUUUGAACCUUACCAUUUAGAGGAAGGUGAAGUCGUAACA